AGCGUACACGGUGGAUGCCCUGGCAGUCAGAGGCGAUGAAGGACGUGCUAAUCUGCGAAAAGCGUCGGUAAGGUGAUAUGAACCGUUAUAACCGGCGAUGUCCGAAUGGGGAAACCCAGUGUGAUUCGUCACACUAUCGUUAACUGAAUACAUAGGUUAACGAGGCGAACCGGGGGAACUGAAACAUCUAAGUACCCCGAGGAAAAGAAAUCAACCGAGAUUCCCCCAGUAGCGGCGAGCGAACGGGGAGCAGCCCAGAGUCUGAAUCAGCUUGUGUGUUAGUGGAACGGUCUGGAAAGUCCGACGGUACAGGGUGAUAGUCCCGUACACCAAAAUGCACAGGCUGUGAACUCGAAGAGUAGGGCGGGACACGUGGUAUCCUGUCUGAAUAUGGGGGGACCAUCCUCCAAGGCUAAAUACUCCUGACUGACCGAUAGUGAACCAGUACCGUGAGGGAAAGGCGAAAAGAACCCCGGCGAGGGGAGUGAAAAAGAACCUGAAACCGUGUACGUACAAGCAGUGGGAGCACCUUCGGGUGUGACUGCGUACCUUUUGUAUAAUGGGUCAGCGACUUAUAUUCUGUAGCAAGGUUAACCGUAUAGGGGAGCCGCAGGGAAACCGAGUCUUAACUGGGCGUUAAGUUGCAGGGUAUAGACCCGAAACCCGGUGAUCUAGCCAUGGGCAGGUUGAAGGUUGGGUAACACUAACUGGAGGACCGAACCGACUAAUGUUGAAAAAUUAGCGGAUGACUUGUGGCUGGGGGUGAAAGGCCAAUCAAACCGGGAGAUAGCUGGUUCUCCCCGAAAGCUAUUUAGGUAGCGCCUCGUGAACUCAUCUUCGGGGGUAGAGCACUGUUUCGGCUAGGGGGUCAUCCCGACUUACCAACCCGAUGCAAACUACGAAUACCGAAGAAUGUUAUCACGGGAGACACACGGCGGGUGCUAACGUCCGUCGUGAAGAGGGAAACAACCCAGACCGCCAGCUAAGGUCCCAAAGUCAUGGUUAAGUGGGAAACGAUGUGGGAAGGCACAGACAGCCAGGAUGUUGGCUUAGAAGCAGCCAUCAUUUAAAGAAAGCGUAAUAGCUCACUGGUCGAGUCGGCCUGCGCGGAAGAUGUAACGGGGCUAAACCAUGCACCGAAGCUGCGGCAGCGACACUAUGUGUUGUUGGGUAGGGGAGCGUUCUGUAAGCCUGCGAAGGUGUGCUGUGAGGCAUGCUGGAGGUAUCAGAAGUGCGAAUGCUGACAUAAGUAACGAUAAAGCGGGUGAAAAGCCCGCUCGCCGGAAGACCAAGGGUUCCUGUCCAACGUUAAUCGGGGCAGGGUGAGUCGACCCCUAAGGCGAGGCCGAAAGGCGUAGUCGAUGGGAAACAGGUUAAUAUUCCUGUACUUGGUGUUACUGCGAAGGGGGGACGGAGAAGGCUAUGUUAGCCGGGCGACGGUUGUCCCGGUUUAAGCAUGUAGGCUGGUUGUCCAGGCAAAUCCGGAUAAUCAAGGCUGAGGUGUGAUGACGAGGCACUACGGUGCUGAAGUAACAAAUGCCCUGCUUCCAGGAAAAGCCUCUAAGCAUCAGGUAACAUUAAAUCGUACCCCAAACCGACACAGGUGGUCAGGUAGAGAAUACCAAGGCGCUUGAGAGAACUCGGGUGAAGGAACUAGGCAAAAUGGUGCCGUAACUUCGGGAGAAGGCACGCUGGUGUGUAGGUGAAGCCCCUGCGGGUGGAGCUGAGACCAGUCGAAGAUACCAGCUGGCUGCAACUGUUUAUUAAAAACACAGCACUGUGCAAACACGAAAGUGGACGUAUACGGUGUGACGCCUGCCCGGUGCCGGAAGGUUAAUUGAUGGGGUUAUCCGUAAGGAGAAGCUCUUGAUCGAAGCCCCGGUAAACGGCGGCCGUAACUAUAACGGUCCUAAGGUAGCGAAAUUCCUUGUCGGGUAAGUUCCGACCUGCACGAAUGGCGUAAUGAUGGCCAGGCUGUCUCCACCCGAGACUCAGUGAAAUUGAACUCGCUGUGAAGAUGCAGUGUACCCGCGGCAAGACGGAAAGACCCCGUGAACCUUUACUAUAGCUUGACACUGAACAUUGAGCCUUGAUGUGUAGGAUAGGUGGGAGGCUUUGAAGCGUGGACGCCAGUCUGCGUGGAGCCAACCUUGAAAUACCACCCUUUAAUGUUUGAUGUUCUAACGUUGGCCCCUUACCGGGGUUGCGGACAGUGUCUGGUGGGUAGUUUGACUGGGGCGGUCUCCUCCCAAAGCGUAACGGAGGAGCACGAAGGUUAGCUAAUCCUGGUCGGACAUCAGGAGGUUAGUGCAAUGGCAUAAGCUAGCUUGACUGCGAGCGUGACGGCGCGAGCAGGUGCGAAAGCAGGUCAUAGUGAUCCGGUGGUUCUGAAUGGAAGGGCCAUCGCUCAACGGAUAAAAGGUACUCCGGGGAUAACAGGCUGAUA
Molecule: ribosomal RNA, 2446 nt
Filed under: Klebsiella pneumoniae
Lineage: Bacteria; Pseudomonadati; Pseudomonadota; Gammaproteobacteria; Enterobacterales; Enterobacteriaceae
Description: bacterial LSU rRNA
Rfam family: Bacterial large subunit ribosomal RNA
Source: RNAcentral